AUCAAGUCCAGAAAGAAAUGGGUAAAUUUUUUUGACAAUUUUUAACAGAUGUAUUUCUUUAAAACAUCUUUUCCCACCAUUUCUCAACAUUCCCUCCUCCCUGCUCCUGUCCGCCCUUUAGCUUCUUGUGGGUUCCACGUUACCCUAUCUUCUCUUUGACGUCCUGAGGUCCUCCCACAUGACGUUCCCUUCUCACCAUCUCUCUGGCUGUUAUUCCUUCCAGUUUCUUCCUUGCUAUACACCCAGGUGGUGUUCUACCUCCCUGGUGAUUACCCUAAUUUCAUGAUAAGGUUGGUGAGAUGAAGGCGAUUCGCUUAAGCUGAGUGUGGUCAUUGCCAUUCGAGAGAAGGCUUCCUUUCCCUUGGGUUCUCCAAGUGCUCUGAGGUGGAGUGCCUCUUGCUUUACAGAUGAUCGUGUUCUGGCUUUUAGGGGAAGCAUUCAGACUCCAAAGCUGUUGCAUGAGAUGAGUUCCUUCUUUGUUGACUGUCUAGGAUGAUGGCUCAGUUCAAGGAUGAUUGGAGGAGAGAACAGUUGCUGAAUGAAGGACUUCAGGAAAAAUAUGAUGAUCUUCAAAAGAAAUUCGGUAAGUAUCUCUGACGACCUCUUUGUUUCCACAGCCUGUAUUAAACAUUCAGGUUUUUGGUUCUUUCGGCAUCCCCUCUCUUCUUACCUAUAUGCCAUCUUUUGGCUCACAUGUCAUCUCCAUGUCUUCCCUCUCCUCCCUCAAGGUUUCUGUUUAUGGACAUCUCCCAUCCUAAGUUCUCUCCGUUUCUUUUACCCGAGACCUGAUUCCUUCUCGCUGCUUCCCACUUCAUUUCACAGGGUCCUUCCUGUAAACAUGGUCUUAACUCUGGCAUCCAGAGUCUUGGCAGGUUCGUUUUGA
Molecule: long non-coding RNA, 883 nt
Filed under: Sus scrofa (pig)
Lineage: Eukaryota; Metazoa; Chordata; Mammalia; Artiodactyla; Suidae
Description: lncRNA (ENSSSCG00070001154.1)
Source: RNAcentral